GGAUUAGAUACCCUGGUAGUCCACGCCGUAAACGAUGAUUACUCGAUAUUGGCGAUACACAGUCAGUGUCUAAGCGAAAGUGAUAAGUAAUCCACCUGGGGAGUACGGUCGCAAGAUUGAAACUCAAAGGAAUUGACGGGGGCCCGCACAAGCGGUGGAGCAUGUGGUUUAAUUCGAUGAUACGCGAGGAACCUUACCAGGGCUUAAAUGCAUAAUGACGGAUCUGGAAACAGAUCUUUCUUCGGACAGAAUGCAAGGUGCUGCAUGGCUGUCGUCAGCUCGUGCCG
RNAcentral lists this ribosomal RNA (287 nucleotides) under uncultured bacterium. Its description in RNAcentral is "partial 16S ribosomal RNA". It matches the Rfam family "Bacterial small subunit ribosomal RNA", at positions 775 to 1067 of the family's 1533-position model. The record is from RNAcentral.